GCCCGGGUGGUGGAACAGGUAGACACGCGGCACUUAAAAUGCUGUGAGCGCAAGCUCGUGCCGGUUCGAGUCCGGCCCUGGGCA
This 84-nucleotide transfer RNA is filed under the name Myxococcales bacterium. RNAcentral describes it as "tRNA-Leu". It matches the Rfam family "tRNA". Rfam says of the family: Transfer RNA (tRNA) molecules are approximately 80 nucleotides in length. Their secondary structure includes four short double-helical elements and three loops (D, anti-codon, and T loops). RNAcentral also lists the same sequence under 1 other name. The record is from RNAcentral. Lineage: Bacteria; Pseudomonadati; Myxococcota; Myxococcia; Myxococcales.